GGUGAACGCUGGCGGCGUGCUUAACACAUGCAAGUCGAACGAGAAGUGAAGACGGAAACCUUCGGGCGGAAGGCUUUAUUUCGAGUGGCGGACGGGUGAGUAACGCGUGGGUAACCUGCCUCAUACAGGGGGAUAACAGUUGGAAACGACUGUUAAUACCGCAUAAGACCACAGCACCGCAUGGUGCGGGGGUAAAAACUCCGGUGGUAUGAGAUGGACCCGCGUUCGAUUAGCCAGUUGGCGGGGUAACGGCCCACCAAAGCGACGAUCGAUAGCCGAUGUGGGGGGAGGCCCGGCAACAUUGGGACGGGGCCAGGGCCCAAACCCCUGGGGGGGGCAGCAGGGGGGAAAUUGGCAAAUUGGGGGAAACCCUGAGGCAGCGCCGCCGGGUGAGGAAAAAAGUAUUUGGGUAUGAAAAGCUCUAUCAGCAGGGAAGAAAAGGACGGUACCGGAGUAAGAAGCCCCGGCAAACUACGG
RNAcentral lists this ribosomal RNA (477 nucleotides) under uncultured bacterium. RNAcentral's name for it is "partial 16S ribosomal RNA". It matches the Rfam family "Bacterial small subunit ribosomal RNA", at positions 28 to 506 of the family's 1533-position model. The record is from RNAcentral.